CAAUAGCGUAUAUUAAAGUUGUUGCGGUUAAAAAGCUCGUAGUUGGAUUUCUGUUGAGAACGUCCGGUCCGCACUAUGUGCGUGUAUCUGGUUCGGUCUUGGCAUCCUCUUGAGGAACGUACCUGCGCUUGAUUGCGUGGAGCGGUAUUCAAGACUUUUACUUUGAGGAAAUUAGAGUGUUCACGGCAGGCAAGCGCCUUGAAUACGUUAGCAUGGAAUAAUAAUAUAGGAUCUUGGUUCUAUUUUGUUGGUUUCUAGGGCUAAGGUAAUGAUUAAUAGGGAUAAUUGGGGGCAUUUGUAUUAACGCGUCAGAGGUGGAAUUCUUGGAUUGCGUUACGACAAACUACUGCGAAAGCAUUUGCCAAGGAUGUUUUCAUUGA
Molecule: ribosomal RNA, 380 nt
Filed under: uncultured eukaryote
Lineage: Eukaryota
Description: partial 18S ribosomal RNA
Rfam family: Eukaryotic small subunit ribosomal RNA
Source: RNAcentral